Molecule: long non-coding RNA, 1239 nt
Filed under: Oryctolagus cuniculus (rabbit)
Lineage: Eukaryota; Metazoa; Chordata; Mammalia; Lagomorpha; Leporidae
Description: lncRNA (ENSOCUG00000038908.1)
Source: RNAcentral
CCGCUGAGAUAUCACUUUUUCAUAUUACCUUUAAACUAAAGAAAGUUUACUUAAAUCCACUGUCCUGGAGUGAAUUUUGUGACUUUAACUUUAAAAAGUUUAAAUUAACAUUUUCUCAUAUUCUUCAUAGUCCAAUACAUUUUUAAGCCAGAAUUAAAUAUUCACAGACUGUGAUGGUAGAUUUUAUUAAUAAACUCUCCCCCAUUGAUAUCAGAACUAGUCCCCUAAAAUAUUACAUCCGAAUAUGGUCCCUAAGAGUCCCCCAAAAGUCCCAUCUGGGGUGCCAUAUGAUAUCACAGUGUGCUUAUUAAUAAAUUCCCAAUAUGAAUAAACCAGUGUGGGUUCUUGCCUAAUAUUCAGAGAAUUCUGAAUACUGGGGUAGAUAAAUGAGGCAGCAUGAUUCAUUUUUAAGCUUUUAUUCAGUGAGAGAAGUGCAUAGGAGACUGAGAGCUUUACCUAUAGGAGAGAGGUAAAUCUGGGUUUAUACUGAGUACCAGGAACCAGCCAGUGGAGGAGCAUCUAGGCCAGGAAGCGUGGGGCGGGUGGCCUGAAAAAGCCAAGGAAAGGAGAGGGCGGGCAUACUGUGUCCUUGGCUAAUCCACUUGCAAAGGGGCGUGGUUAAUCAACCUGAUUGGCCGGUGGGUGUACAGGUGCGGCCAGGUAAGGGCGUGCAGUCACACAGGGGCGUGGUCCUCCAGCUCACAAACCUAAUCCAUUUUAUUCUAUAUGCCGGCCUACCACACGACAUCACCCAAGAACUCCCUCUCACCUGCCUGGGCCGGUGCGAGCCGGCAGGCCCCGGGUCGGGUUGAAAGGCGGCGGGUUGGCGCCGGUCCCCGCGCGCCCUGCGCACACCGGACAGGAGUCAUUUUUCAGAGCUGGGGUCUCGGCGCCUGGGGGUCGGAGCGCCGAGCCAAGAAUCAAAAGAAAGGCGAAUUAUACAGCUUUCUGAUCUCGGACUCCGGUUGCUACGGGAGACCCGGUUAUCCUCAUCAGUGUUACCAAACGGGUCCCCUCGCAGGGCUGUGGCACCCGACACCGGCCCCUCCCCGCCCCCCGGGACCCCGCCCCGCUGGCCCCUCGGAGCCCACAGUGGCCGCGGGCGCCUGCGCAGUCGCCACCGAGCCCGGCCUUCUCCGGAGUCCUGGCGCGGCUGACUGGACCGCCGGGCCGCCCUCGGAAUCUGCCCUCCUUUCUGUGGAUUCUGCUUCUCCAGUAAAUGAACCCCCGGGAAAAUGA